UCGAUUCUGCAUAUUCAACUUCCGUAAGGAUGUCAGAUUCCCUGCCAGUUAGUCUCUCCAGCUUUUGAUGAAGGUUAUCCAUCUUCCCACGAACACUAGCGGAAGUGUAAGGACUGACCAUUUGAACCGCGGCUAACACCGUGUCCAUUCCUGCAACCUGAAAGGACAAAUUUACCCAAAACCUUUAAAGAGAGAUUCUCGAUCAGAUUGCCUUUUUGAAUGCGAUCUUUCUAUUGAGAUCAUAUCUACCGCACCCAACCAAACAUGUCUUUUUUUUACCAAACUACGGUUUGCAUGCCAUUUUUUUUUGGGAUUAAGAUAUAAAUAAUCCUUAAACUUUCAAUUUACUUAAUAUGACCCAUGAAUUUUAGCUUAGUAUUCAAUAUUGUCCUUAAACUUUUAAUUUAUUUAAUAUAAUAUCUGGACUUUUGAUAUAUGUUCUAUGUAGUUCAUGAAUUUCAAAAUAGUCAUUUCAUUAUAUUUGUAUAUUCAAUGAACUAAAUUGAACAAAUUAAAAAUUCAGAAUCGUGUUAAAUAAAUUAAAAGUUUGGUAAUUAUUAUGUUUCGGAAAUAAGUUUUGCUAACAAAUGGUUUUUUCUUAUUCUUUUCUCUAGAUGAAUUUUUGAGCAUUUGAAGGCGCUUAUUAAGUGUCCAAAAUUUAUAUUCCCCAAAUAAAAGUACGUUCGAUAUGAUUCUCAAAAAAAUUUUGACUUAUAAUUUCUUUUAUUUUUUAAUAAUUUUAUUAUAUAUUUUUACUUCUUCUUCGAUCACUAACCUCUACCAUAACUAGUGAUUAGCCAGACGAGGCCCAACGACCUCGUUGGAGCGUUGUCGGUCCUUAGAGAGGUCGUCAACCCGUGCCUUGCCAUCGCUGGGCAAGGUUAGGCUUGCCCAGAUCUUGCAAGGCCAAUCUUGCUCCAGCUGCUUGCCAUCACCAAGGGUGGCAACUCGCAAAAGGAAGAAAAAAAGAAAAAAGAAAAAAAAGGAAGUUGUUUUGAUUUUGAAGUUAUUUUCGAGAGAGAAAAAAGAGCAGCUUUUUUCUUAAUUCUAUUCUAAACCUAUUUUCUUAAAUAAAAAGUUACCUAAUAAAUUUAUGUUCUAAUCUUAUAUGUCAAAAAACUCGAACAACUCCGGUAGAUCAAGAAUACAAGGACAAAUCAACUCUGUCUAUAAGUUUAUGACGCUACUAGAAGGCAAACGCACCCAGCCUUCGCUCAUUGAUUCACAUUUCAUGCGUGCGAAAGGAAAUGGGCUUUAGCUAUCUAAAGAGAGAAACGACGAGCGUACCUGGAGCCAACCGCACCAGUGCUUGUGGAAGAACUUCCGAAGAACUGGAUGCAAAGAGAGAAGACAGACGGUGAUUCUGCUACUCAAAUUCAAUAGAGAGAGCGAAUGACUGGUGUAGGUUUGCGGAGAAGGGGAAACUGCUUUAUGGCCUCGGAGGACUUGAAAAAACAGAGCAUUGACUUCAAGU
Molecule: long non-coding RNA, 1474 nt
Filed under: Eucalyptus grandis
Lineage: Eukaryota; Viridiplantae; Streptophyta; Magnoliopsida; Myrtales; Myrtaceae
Description: long non-coding RNA (EGRA_LNC003832)
Source: RNAcentral